UGUGGAUUAUUUGUGUUGGAAUAUAUUACCCCAGUGAAGAAAGAGACGCGUCUAAAGAUUGUUAAUUACCAAGCCUUGGGUGUGGGGAUAAGACCUGGGCUGGUGUGGUGGUGUUCCAGGAUCUAAAUAUGCUGAGGGAUCCGCCUGGCAGCUAGAAGUUGGAGUUGCUGAUCAGGAAGUUAGUCCAGGGGUGAAGCUCCUGUGUGACCUUAACUAAAGCAUUCCUCAAAGACACUUCAAUGUGAGUGAUAGAGGAUAUUUAAGGGUGAGAGGUA
This is a long non-coding RNA of Tachysurus fulvidraco (yellow catfish), 275 nucleotides long. RefSeq lists it as uncharacterized. The record is from RefSeq and is a predicted model, not a curated record. The transcript has 3 exons. NCBI's taxonomy places the organism in Eukaryota, Metazoa, Chordata, Actinopteri, Siluriformes, Bagridae.